Molecule: ribosomal RNA, 170 nt
Filed under: Grammonus robustus
Lineage: Eukaryota; Metazoa; Chordata; Actinopteri; Ophidiiformes; Bythitidae
Description: partial 12S rRNA
Source: RNAcentral
CACCGCGGUUAUACGAGAGACCCAAGUUGAUAACCCCCGGCGUAAAGCGUGGUUAUGGAAACCUGAAACUAAAGUCGAACACCCUCAAAGCUGUUAUACGCAUUCGAGGGCCCGAAGAACCACCACUAAAGUGACUUUAACACCAACCUGAGCCCACGAAAGCUAAGACA